CAUUUGAAGUAGUGAGGCAGGGAUUUGAGCCCAGGUCUGGUCCCUGAGCCCAUGCUCUCUGUUCUGCUGUGCACCUUGGGUGAUCAGGGAAGCAGACCCAAGCUAGGGAAGAAGUCAUGUGGGCAGGGCUGAGGCACUGGAACAGAGUGGGUAACGCAGGAUCUUGGGAAUCUGACACACUGGGGUUCAAAUCCUGGCUCUGCCACUUCGUAGCUCUGUGAGCUUGGAAGUGACUUAAUUUCUCUGAUCCUUGGGUCCCCAUCUAUAAAAGAGGAGAGCCAUAACUACCCAGAGAGUGUAAGGAUGACAUGAGAAUGUAUAUAGAGCCUUGGCAUGGGCCCUGGGGUGUGAUGAGCAUUCAGUAAAUGCUGGCUGCUGUGGGCACAUGGGAAUUGCUGGGCACUUUCUCAUCCACUUGAUCUCCUUGGCUCUUAGGGAAGGCAGACGCUGGACGGCAGGUCUCUCAGACACAGGAGAGACCCUUAGCUUUAUUUAUCCACCCUGGGAUGUAUCCCUGGGAGCUGUGUAUCAAAAUUAUAGCCACUGAAGGUUGGAAGGACAAAGGGGAGGCUAGGCCUGGAUAUAGCAUCUUUACAGUGGUCCAACUUCCCUCUUGCUGGUGAUGUCCAAAGAGAAAGGCCAGCACAGCGGCUCAGAUGGGCGUAGCGGGACUGCCUGGAGGAGCCUAUGCAGUGGGCUUGGGCAGGGUCCAGAGUUACUGGUGGCGGGGGUGGACGCUGUCAGUGUCUCCCCCAGACUCCACUGAACCUUUUAUAUCAGGUGCCCUAGAGUAGCACCUGUUUACCUAGACCUGCCUUCCAGAGACACUGUCUCCCCACCUUGUGAGCUCCUGGCUGCCAUGACCUCCGCACUUGCCCUGAGAGGCUGUGAGGAUGAAAUGCUGAUGUACAUGAAGCUCUUAGCCUAAUACUUCACAUUCAGCGAGCGCCCACCUUCUGACUGUGGCCAUUAAUUUGUGGAUUCAAGUAAUGUUUUAGGUUGAGAGGUCAUAGUUAUGAAGAAAACAGUCCCCACCCUCAUGGAGGUCACACGCUAGUAGGGAAGAUGGAUGAGAAACAUGUAAGCAAGUAGAUUUGAUUGUAAUAUUGGAGUGAAGAACAGUAAAGCAGGGAGAGGGAACAAAGACAUCGUUGGUGUGGCUGGGAAGGAAGGCUUUUAUUGGGAGAUAACAAGUGAGCAGAGACCCUGGGGAUAUGGAGGUGCCAAUCAUGAGAAUGUUGGGGGAGGCCAGGUGCGGUGGCUCAUGCCUGUAAUCCCAGCACUUUGGGAGGCCGAGGCGGGUGGAUCACUUGAGGUCAGGAGUUCGAGACCAGCCUGGCCAACAUGGUGAAACCCUGUUUCUACUAAAAAUACAAAAAUUAGCCAGGUGUGGUGGUAUGCCUGUAAUCCCAGCUACUGGGGAGACUGAGGCAGGAGAAUCACUUGAACCCAGGAGGCAGAGGCUGCAGUGAGCGGAUAUCAUACCACUGCACUCCAGCCUGGGCGACAGAGCAGGACUCUAUCUAGACAGACAGACAGGUAGGUAGAUAGAAUUAAUGUUGGGGAGCAUCCCAGCAGAGCCUCCAGGUGGGACUGAAUCUGGUACAACAAGACAGAGAGGAGGGAUAACUAGGAAAUGAAGCCAGGGUGGAGGCUACCAGGUCACAUAGGACCUUAUUGUUUUCAACAAUCAUUAUUUCUAGAUGUCGCUGGGCAGGAUCAGCUGUUCCUUCUCUUGUGCUAUUCUGCGUGGUAUGCACACAGCCAUUGUAGCAAGUCACCCUUUGUUAGGACUGUGUAUUUUACCACCACACUGGGAGCUCUGGAGGCCAGGGACUAUGGCUGUUUUGCAUAUACCCAGCACCUAGCAUGGGAACUGUUUAUCGAAAUUAUAGCCACUGAAGGUUGGAAGGACGAGGGGGCAACCAGGCCUGGGUAUGGUAUCCUUAGAGUGGUCCAACUUCCCUCUUCCUGGUGAUGUCCAAAGAGGAAGGAGCAUGGAGUCUGUGCUUCACACAUUUAAAGAUAAUGAAUCUUAGUGGCAAUGGAUGCUGUCUAUUGGGGGUUUCUGUGUGCUAUCCACAGCAGUUAGCAUUUUAUAUUUCAUUGUCUCAUUGAAUCAAUACAAUAGGCUUGGCCCCAAAGUGUCAUCUCCAUUUUACGGAUGAAGAAAUAAGCUGUAGAGGCCGUCCCAUGCCCCAAGCACACACAGCUAGGAACUUGCUGAGCUGAGAUUUGAAGCCAGGACUCUAAGGACCACACUUUCAACUCUGACCAAGCUGGAAGGUCGACUGCCUCCGGCAGGGGCUUGGCCCAGGCCUGCCCUUCCAAGGGCUGUGGUGUUUACUGCCGAGGGUUUUGGCAUCCUUCGGCCUUCUUGGUCCCUCAGGGGUCACCUUGCACCCCAGCCUUCCCUGUAGUAUCCCACGGAGCCUGAGGGGCUGUCCCUCAGACUUCCUCACAGCUUUGUAAUCCACAAAUGGAAAAGUGGCACUUAAAAUGAAUUUAUUCAGGUGGGAGCUGUGUAAGACAUGAAAAUAAGGCUUUUGAGCUCCUCCACAUAAACUUGAGUGUAAAUGAAAAGCUUUUUAUUUGGUUUCUGAGCCAGACUUUGAGAAGCCAGUGGUCCGUGCGGUCUGGAAGCGCAUGUUAUGGGCGCUGGGUCGGAACAGGGGCCACUUUGAAUGGCAAGGAGGGAGAAUCGCUCCAGCGAAGCUGGAACGGCCAAGAAGCUGGGAUGUCAAUAAACACAGGCAGGACACAGAAAGCCUUUUCCGAAGAGAUGGAAGGCGGGGAAGCGAAGGAAAGGCAGUGCCUCACUCCCGGUGCAUUUGAGAAGGAAAAUGCUUGAGGUAACCCGUGUUGGCAGCUUUUAUAGCUUCCUCUCGAUAAUGUGCUGGGCAGACCCUGAACAGGCUGGUGUUUUAUUUUCGUGUAACGAAGCCGAGUGGACCAGGGGCAGCUCUCCAGCAAUGGCUGGCCUGGGGCUGUGCUCACGGAGAGAGGCAGGGCUACCUGAGACCUGGGGCAGGGGCCAGCCUCCUGCCUGCUGGGCAAACUGUGGGGAAGGCGGGGACCAGGAUUUCUGACUUCCUCUGGAUGAUGUUUGGUUUGUCACAAUCCUUAGACGUAAGGCCCCUUUAUGUCCAGUGCCAGUGAGGGAGGUGGCAGGCAGCCGUGGGAAGGCAACUGCUCUGAGAAGGAGGGCACAGGUCCACGCUGUCUAAAUGUUACUGGUUGUGAACUACACAGGAACCUUAGCAUGGGGAACCCACAGAAAGGUCUUUGUGCCCUUUGCUGCCUUUUGCCAAGGUACUUUCUGUGACUAGAUUUACCUUGCAUUUAUAUUCUCUUCUCUUUGGUAAUAUGUACAUAUGUGUGUGAGGUAUAUUUGGACCUGGGAUUAUGUGUGUGGUUAAAAAUAUACAUCAGUACGUUAGUGACCUGCAUAGGUGCAUUAAGCAAUGUAUUUUGAGAGCCAUGGGCUGGAAGGAAACACCCAACUAGCUACUUUGAGACACUAGCAAAGCCCAAAGUAAUUCUGUUAGAUGAGCGUAUGAGCUACUGUUUUAUAUGUUUGUUACAGAUUUUUUCUUCCUGUUUUCUCCUGGAUAUUAUGUGAAAACAAUGUAUGUAUUUAAACAAAAUUUUAAAUUUCAAUCUUAAGAAUUUCAGGGUUGGUUUGUUUGUUUGCUUUGAGAUGGAGUCUCAUUCUGUCACCCAGGCUGGAGUGCAGUGGUGCGAUCUCGGCUCACUGAAACCUUUGCCUCCCAGGUUCAAGUGAUUCUCCUGCCUCAGCCUCCCAAGUAGCUGGGACUACAGGCGCGCUCCAUCACGCCCAACUAAUUUUUUGUAUUUUUAGUAGAGAUGGGGUUCCACUGUGUUAGCCAGGCUGGUCUUGAUCUCCUGACCUUGUGAUCCGCCUGCCUUGGCCUCCCAAAGUGCUGGAAUUACAGUCGUGAGCCACCGCACCCAGCAAAUUUCAGGGUUUUUUUCAACCCAUGUUUAUUUUGAAAAAUUGAAAAUAUCAGGAAAAAUAAGAAGAUAAAAGUCUUCUGCAAUGCUAUCAUUCAAAUAAUUGCUGCUGUUCUUUAGGUAUUUGUAUGCUCUUCCAGACAUGUUCCUAAUGAGUAUAUAUUAAUGUAAAAUAAAAUAUCAAUGGCGAACAUUUGAGUGUUACCAUUUGCCAGCAUUUUGCAUGUAGGGACUCACUUCAUCCUCAACAAUUCAAUGAUUGGUUUUAUUAUUAAACUCAUUGUACAGAUGAGAAAGCCGAAGCCCAGAAUGAUUACCUUUCUUAAGAUCACAUAGGUAAGUAGCCAAGCCAGGAUUUGAACACAGGCAGUCUGGUUCCAGAGCCUGUGCUCUUAAGGCACUUGCUAUACUAACUUGCAAAAGAAUUCGGAGAAUACUAUCCAUACCAAUUUGUAACCCGUUGUUUUUCCCACUCAAAAUAUUAUGAACUCCCUUCCAUGCCAAUAACCUUAUAUCUAGAACAUCAUUUAAAAUGGCUCCGUUGUGAUGCAUACAUCCCCAAAAUGCAAUGCUGCAAUGCUGUUUCCCUUUGUGGCUGUUUUGGGUAAUAAUAACAAUUAAACUUAAAAAUAGCAAAUAUUGAGGUUCUGUGUCUGGUGCUGUCCUAAGACCUGUUUACAUCUCAUCUAAUUUAAUCCUUGUGAUAACUCAGGCUUCUUACAGGGGAAGAAGUUAGGGAAGAACAGGAAGAAAUUUGCCAUGACAUCUUCCUUACAUAAAACCUCAAGGUUAGAUUUUUGACAUCGUCUUCAAAUAAAAUUAUAUAUGUAAUAA
Molecule: long non-coding RNA, 4809 nt
Filed under: Homo sapiens (human)
Lineage: Eukaryota; Metazoa; Chordata; Mammalia; Primates; Hominidae
Description: non-protein coding lnc-ARHGAP26-4:29
Source: RNAcentral